RNAcentral lists this ribosomal RNA (253 nucleotides) under uncultured bacterium. RNAcentral describes it as "partial 16S ribosomal RNA". It matches the Rfam family "Bacterial small subunit ribosomal RNA", at positions 524 to 776 of the family's 1533-position model. The record is from RNAcentral.
UACGGAGGGGGCUAGCGUUGUUCGGAAUUACUGGGCGUAAAGCGCACGUAGGCGGCGCGACACGUCAGAGGUGAAAGGCCUGGGCUCACCCUGGGAACUGCCUUUGAUACUGGCGUGCUUGAGUCCGGAAGAGGGUGGCGGAAUUCCCAGUGGGGAGGUGAAAUGCGUAGAUAUUGGGAAGAACACCGGUGGCGAAGGCGGUCACCUGGUCCGGUACUGACGCUGAGGUGCGAAAGCGUGGGGAGCAAACAGG